Molecule: non-coding RNA, 114 nt
Organism: Acanthosepion pharaonis
Lineage: Eukaryota; Metazoa; Mollusca; Cephalopoda; Sepiida; Sepiidae
Source: the annotation of a GenBank genome assembly
UUAUGGCCAUAUCACAUUGAAAAACCUGUUCCCGUAUGAUCAACAAAGUUUAACAACAUUGAGCCUAGUCAGUACCUAAGUGGAUGACCGCUUGGGAAUACCAGGUGCUGUAAG